RNAcentral lists this ribosomal RNA (492 nucleotides) under uncultured bacterium. Its description in RNAcentral is "partial 16S ribosomal RNA". It matches the Rfam family "Bacterial small subunit ribosomal RNA", at positions 29 to 507 of the family's 1533-position model. The record is from RNAcentral.
AGUGAACGCUGGCGGUAGGCCUAACACAUGCAAGUCGAACGGCAGCACAGUAAGAGCUUGCUCUUACGGGUGGCGAGUGGCGGACGGGUGAGGAAUACAUCGGAAUCUACUUUUUCGUGGGGGAUAACGUAGGGAAACUUACGCUAAUACCGCAUACGACCUACGGGUGAAAGCAGGGGAUCUUCGGACCUUGCGCGAUUGAAUGGGCCGAUGUCGGAUUAGCUAGUUGGCGGGGUAAAGGCCCACCAAGGCGACGAUCCGUAGCUGGUCUGAGAGGAUGAGCAGCCACACUGGAACUGAGACACGGUCCAGACUCCUACGGGAGGCAGCAGUGGGGAAUAUUGGACAAUGGGCGCAAGCCUGAUCCAGCCAUACCGCGUGGGUGAAGAAGGCCUUCGGGUUGUAAAGCCCUUUUGUUGGGAAAGAAAAGCAGCAGGUUAAUACCCCGCUGUUCUGACGGUACCCAAAGAAUAAGCACCGGCUAACUUCGUG